This 257-nucleotide ribosomal RNA is filed under the name uncultured bacterium. Its description in RNAcentral is "partial 16S ribosomal RNA". It matches the Rfam family "Bacterial small subunit ribosomal RNA", at positions 524 to 776 of the family's 1533-position model. The record is from RNAcentral.
UACAGAGACCUCAAGCGUUAUCCGGAAUCAUUGGGCGUAAAGCGUACCGAUAGGGGGUUUUGAGUGUUUUGGGUAAAAGCCAGAAGCUCAACUUCUGAGUUUGCUCAAAAUACUGCAAAACUAGAGGGGCAAAGAGGAGACUGGAACGAACGGUGUAGUAGUGAAAUGCGUUGAUAUCGUUCGGAACACCGAAAGCGAAGGCAGGUCUCUGGGUGCCACCUGACACUGCUAGGACGAAAGCGUGGGGAGCGAAUGGG